Molecule: transfer RNA, 30 nt
Filed under: Coeligena orina
Lineage: Eukaryota; Metazoa; Chordata; Aves; Apodiformes; Trochilidae
Description: partial tRNA-Leu
Source: RNAcentral
AACUUUUAAAGGAUAAUAGCUAAUCCACUG